UUUCCGUAGGUGAACCUGCGGAAGGAUCAUUAAAUAGUACCACAGAUUACAUAUGCAAAUAUGACAAUCUACUACUAUAUACCAUUCCGAGUACUCUUUUUCCAUGUUGCUUCCGCGAGGCAGUCACUUCAAGUGGCCGUUUGCUCCGGAUCUCCCUUCUCGGAGAGCCGGCUGUGGGCGAGAUUUCCUUGCGAAAGGUCAAUUACAAAUCCAAUUAUGUUUUUAUUUUGUGUCUGAAUAGAUUUUUUUUUUCUUUCUUUUUUUAAUUAAUAAAUACAAAAAAAAUAAAAUAAAAUACAAAACUUUCAACAACGGAUCUCUUGGUUCUC
RNAcentral lists this unclassified non-coding RNA (329 nucleotides) under plant metagenome. Its description in RNAcentral is "partial contains small subunit ribosomal RNA, internal transcribed spacer 1, and 5.8S ribosomal RNA". The record is from RNAcentral.